Molecule: ribosomal RNA, 467 nt
Filed under: uncultured bacterium
Lineage: Bacteria
Description: SSU rRNA
Rfam family: Bacterial small subunit ribosomal RNA
Source: RNAcentral
AGGACGAACGCUUGCGGCGUGCCUAAGAAAUGCAAGUCGAGCGGGAGUAGCAAUACUCUAGCGGCGAACGGUCGCGUAACACGUAGCCAACCUGCCCAGAAGACCGGGACAACACUCCGAAAGGGGUGCUAAUACCGGAUGUGCCCAUUUUGCCACAUGGCUUAAUGAGUAAAUCAUUUAUGGCUUCUGGAGGGGGCUGCGGCCUAUCAGCUAGAUGGUGGGGUAACGGCCUACCAUGGCGUCGACGGGUAGCUGGUCUGAGAGGAUGGUCAGCCGGACUGGGACUGAGAUACGGCCCAGACUCCUACGGGGGGCAGCAAUUAGGAAUCUUGCGCAAUGGGGGCAACCCUGACGCAGCGACGCCGCGUGGAGGAUGACGGCCUUCGGGUUGUAACUCCUUUUAUCGGGGAAGAAACAAAUGACGGUACCCGAUGAAUAAGCCCGGCUAACUCCGCGCCAGCAGCCGC